RNAcentral lists this ribosomal RNA (553 nucleotides) under Mantidactylus grandidieri (Grandidier's Madagascar frog). Its description in RNAcentral is "partial 16S ribosomal RNA". It matches the Rfam family "Bacterial large subunit ribosomal RNA", at positions 1829 to 2596 of the family's 2925-position model. The record is from RNAcentral. Lineage: Eukaryota; Metazoa; Chordata; Amphibia; Anura; Mantellidae.
CGCCUCUUGACACAAUAUAAGAGGUCCAGCCUGCCCAGUGACAUAGUUUAACGGCCACGGUACCCUAACCGUGCGAAGGUAGCAUAAUCACUUGUUCUUUAAAUGGGGACUUGUAUCAACGGCAUCACGAGGGUUCUACUGUCUCCUUUCUCUAAUCAGUGAAACUAAUCUCCCCGUGAAGAAGCGGGGAUACCACCAUAAGACGAGAAGACCCCAUGGAGCUUUAAACCCAACUACACCCCCUACUUUCCAUAUUCACUCAACCAACAGGGCCCUGUACGCUUGGUUUUAGGUUGGGGUGACCACGGAGUAAAAUUAAACCUCCACGAUGAACGGGAAUACCCUCUUAUCUAAGAGCCACACCUCUAAGAAUUAGUAUACUAACAUAAAAUGAUCCGAUACUCGAUCAACGAACCAAGUUACCCUGGGGAUAACAGCGCAAUCCAUUUCAAGAGCCCCUAUCGACAAAUGGGUUUACGACCUCGAUGUUGGAUCAGGAUACCCCAGUGGUGCAGCAGCUACUAAAGGUUCGUUUGUUCAACGAUUAAAAUCC